This 276-nucleotide ribosomal RNA is filed under the name uncultured bacterium. Its description in RNAcentral is "partial 16S ribosomal RNA". It matches the Rfam family "Bacterial small subunit ribosomal RNA", at positions 336 to 626 of the family's 1533-position model. The record is from RNAcentral.
UUCCUACGGGACGCAGCAGUAGGGAAUUUUCGUCAAUGGGCGCAAGCCUGACCCAGCAACGCCGCGUGAAGGAAGAAGGCUUUCGGGUUGUAAACUUCUUUUCUCAGGGACGAAGCAAGUGACGGUACCUGAGGAAUAAGCCACGGCUAACUACGUGCCAGCAGCCGCGGUAAUACGUAGGUGGCAAGCGUUAUCCGGAUUUACUGGGUGUAAAGGGCGUGUAGGCGGGGGCGCAAAUCAGAUGUGAAAACCACGGGCUCCACCUGGGGCCUGCCU